CCUGGGCCCCGUAUUAUAAAACUUUUGACUUACCAUAAUAGUAACUCCCCGAGUUACUAUUAUGGUAGUUACCAUCAAUGGUAACUACCAUCGGAGCUUAAUAUCCGUUGCAUAAAACCGAUAUUAACUAAUAUAAGAAAAACCCGCGAAUGGUCUUCUUGGACGAGCCAGAAAUUUAAGCGCAUGCGCAAUACCCGUCGUCUGCUAGAUAUAGCCACUGAGAUAAACACCGAAGACGGCUGCUGCUAAUCUACAAUUAUCGUCAAUCGAAAUGGUGAAACGCAGGCCGAACUUGACAGGUCGGGAUGUCCGCUGCCUGGCAGACUACGUAAAAAAGAACCGCCAAGCUUUGUUCGGCAAAGCGGGGAACUGUGUGGAAAAGAUCAAAAAACGAAAAGAGGAUGCAUGGGCCCUAGGGCUCGUAUCCCUAGAGGCCCAGGGACUCCAACCAGGUAGAACAGUAAAGGACUUGCGUCUUACCUGGAACGAAAUGGCGGCAAAGGCUUGAAAGUACAGGGACUCAAAGAACAAGACAGGUAAAUUAAGCUGUCUUUAUUGUGUAACAGAUAAAACUGUAAAAGGUACCUUUCUUGUAUACUCCUACCACAUGUAAUUUAUCACCAAUAGUUACCUGUGCUUUGGAAAAGUUAAAAAGUAAGAAAGCAUUUGUGCAAUAAAAAAACAAGUUUUUAAAA
This is a long non-coding RNA of Strongylocentrotus purpuratus (purple sea urchin), 695 nucleotides long. RefSeq lists it as uncharacterized. NCBI's taxonomy places the organism in Eukaryota, Metazoa, Echinodermata, Echinoidea, Camarodonta, Strongylocentrotidae. The record is from RefSeq and is a predicted model, not a curated record. The transcript is spliced from 3 exons.